This 274-nucleotide ribosomal RNA is filed under the name uncultured bacterium. RNAcentral describes it as "partial 16S ribosomal RNA". It matches the Rfam family "Bacterial small subunit ribosomal RNA", at positions 523 to 796 of the family's 1533-position model. The record is from RNAcentral.
AUACGGAGGGGGUUAGCGUUGUUCGGAAUUACUGGGCGUAAAGCGUACGUAGGCGGAUUAGUAAGUUAGGGGUGAAAUCCCGAGGCUCAACCUCGGAACUGCCUCUAAAACUGCUAGUCUUGAGUUCGAGAGAGGUGAGUGGAAUUCCUAGUGUAGAGGUGAGAUUCGUAGAUAUUAGGAGGAACACCAGUGGCGAAGGCGGCUCACUGGCCCAUUACUGACGCUGAGGUACGAAAGCGUGGGGAGCAAACAGGAUUAGAAACCCUAGUAGUCC